UCAGUUCGGAUUGGAGUCUGNAACCCGACUCCAUGAAGCUGGAUUCGCUAGUAAUCGCGCAUCAGCCACGGCGCGGUGAAUACGUUCCCGGGCCUUGUACACACCGCCCGUCAAGCCAUGGAAGCCGGGGGGUGCCUGAAGUGCGCUGCCGCAAGGAGCGCCCUAGGGUAAAACCGGUGACUGGGGCUAAGUCGUAACAAGGUAAC
This 206-nucleotide ribosomal RNA is filed under the name uncultured bacterium. RNAcentral's name for it is "partial 16S ribosomal RNA". It matches the Rfam family "Bacterial small subunit ribosomal RNA", at positions 1288 to 1500 of the family's 1533-position model. The record is from RNAcentral.